UAAAAAUGCAAAUUUUUUAUUAAUUAAGAUUUAAUUUUAUUCAAAAAUUAUUUUUAAUAUAUGAAUAUUAACUCAACAAUAUUAUUAGUGAUAAACACCCAAAAAAGUGUCCAAAUCAAACCAAAAGUUAAGGACCCCUUUAUUACUUUCACUUUAAGCUAAAAUAUCCAUAAUUCUACUCUUCCCUUUUCUUAGUUCUAUCAUUGUUUCAUUGUGUUCUGGCAAUUUUUAUAUAUUUUUUAAUAUUUUUUAAUAAAUCAAAUAUUUUUCAUUUGAAAUAGAAAGCCAUCAUCAUAAUGAUUUAGCAAUGAUUUAAA
Molecule: unclassified non-coding RNA, 317 nt
Filed under: Hevea brasiliensis (rubber tree)
Lineage: Eukaryota; Viridiplantae; Streptophyta; Magnoliopsida; Malpighiales; Euphorbiaceae
Source: RNAcentral